UGUUAAAAUUUUCAUCCACUUCUAUUGUUAAAAGUUGGCAUGGCUGACGAAAUAAUCAGAUAAGUACACGUGGCAUGCCAUGUGUGCCUUAUUUUGAUACACAAAAACCAGCUUUUAACAAUAAAAAUUGAUGGAAAUUAUAACA
Non-coding RNA from Gossypium arboreum, 145 nucleotides. Lineage: Eukaryota; Viridiplantae; Streptophyta; Magnoliopsida; Malvales; Malvaceae. The record is from Rfam.